RNAcentral lists this ribosomal RNA (564 nucleotides) under uncultured bacterium. RNAcentral describes it as "bacterial SSU rRNA". It matches the Rfam family "Bacterial small subunit ribosomal RNA", at positions 542 to 1104 of the family's 1533-position model. The record is from RNAcentral.
UAUCCGGAUUUAUUGGGCGUAAAGGGCUCGUAGGCGGCUCGUCGCGUCCGGUGUGAAAGUCCAUCGCUUAACGGUGGAUCUGCGCCGGGUACGGGCGGGCUGGAGUGCGGUAGGGGAGACUGGAAUUCCCGGUGUAACGGUGGAAUGUGUAGAUAUCGGGAAGAACACCGAUGGCGAAGGCAGGUCUCUGGGCCGUCACUGACGCUGAGGAGCGAAAGCGUGGGGAGCGAACAGGAUUAGAUACCCUGGUAGUCCACGCCGUAAACGGUGGACGCUGGAUGUGGGGCACGUUCCACGUGUUCCGUGUCGGAGCUAACGCGUUAAGCGUCCCGCCUGGGGAGUACGGCCGCAAGGCUAAAACUCAAAGAAAUUGACGGGGGCCCGCACAAGCGGCGGAGCAUGCGGAUUAAUUCGAUGCAACGCGAAGAACCUUACCUGGGCUUGACAUGUUCCCGACGACGCCAGAGAUGGCGUUUCCCUUCGGGGCGGGUUCACAGGUGGUGCAUGGUCGUCGUCAGCUCGUGUCGUGAGAUGUUGGGUUAAGUCCCGCAACGAGCGCAACCC